Myotis davidii is the source of this 314-nucleotide long non-coding RNA. RefSeq lists it as uncharacterized. NCBI's taxonomy places the organism in Eukaryota, Metazoa, Chordata, Mammalia, Chiroptera, Vespertilionidae. The transcript has 3 exons. The record is from RefSeq and is a predicted model, not a curated record.
CACUUGCAUCUCUCCACAGGAAAAAUUCAUAAUGCAUACUUCUGGGGAUUUUCCAUAUUGAUGGAAGAAAAUGUUUGGGAUACCUAAGUGAAUCCAUUGAAGAUUGUGUCUGUUUAUUAGUCUUGGUGCAGAGGGGGAAUUGCUGUACUUUGGAGCUGGGAAAGGAUCUUUCAGAUGAUGAUGAAGGUAUGGAGAGCCAUGAUGGUUUGUGAGUGGUCUGAUCAGGUGGUGAUUCGGAAGGAUAAUUGGAGGUGGUGAUAAGGUAGAUGAGCAGGGCUUUUUCAGUGUGUAGGCAAGAGAUGAUGAAGCCCUAA